UGUUUCCUCAUAAGAUUUAGGAGAAAACUCUCCCUUGCCCAAGGAGAUAUUCUUCCUUUGUUAUUACUUUUUUCUUUUUCAAGAUGACAUCUGGGAGCCAUCUAACAUUUUCUAUGAUAUCCUUCCUUUGCCACCGGUGUAUAGAAGAUGGAAGGUUGGAGUUUUAGAUGAUGUUGAAAACCACGUUUUGACGAAGAUCCGAUUACUCGUGGGCAUGUACCAGUGGAACGACUACUGGUAUAAUGGAAUGGUGGAUCGUGUUGAGAAAAUGUAUAGGUGUACGUGAGAUUGUACACCAGAUCGGUUGGUUCCCCUCUACGGAAGUUUGGGUCGCUCCAUGAUUGUGAUAAUGCUAUAAUUGUAGCGGAGUGGUGGUGGUGGGUGACACUAAUCCAUUUCAUCUUUCACAUUAUUUGUUGGGAUCCUUGGAAAAACCACUUGAUCGGACGUGAUGACGGAGUCGUUCAUGCUAUGGCUCUUAGCAUGCUUCGUUACUUGUUACGAGGCCUGGAUUACUAUGCAUGGUAUCUUAGUGACGGAAAAUCAAUCAACCGAAUGCGAAACCUUUAUUUCCCCCCUCCUCGGGAUACAUGUUUUAUUUAUGCAUCUUUUGGCCAUAUGAUUGCUAUGUCUUGUCAACCGCAAUACUUAUACGAAGAUUCGUCUACCGCGAGUUGGAUUUUGACAUGUAUUGGAAGUCUAUUUCUUUAGGAUCCGUAUUUUUCCACCCAUGAUUUCCAUGAGGAUUUUGUUGUGGGAGAUCCUGGUUUUUUCCCUCAUCAUUGUUGAUGGGAUCCUCAAGUAAUGCUCCUACUCAAACGGCUCGUUUACUCAACUUGGGUCAUUUUCUUCCUAUUUGGGAUCUUCAAAUGCCUAUCCUGGGUACUUCAAAUGUGGUUACAAUUGAAGAGGGCCCUUUUGACCGGGAAGACGUUAUUGGUUUAACUCUUCCUAGCGAUAUUCCAGAGGUACCAUCAUUAUGAUUGCUCUGUUUUAAUCAUUUACAAAAACUCUUGUUAAUAUGGACCUUCUAUUAGGUUCCGAAAGUUCUUCAAGAAUACUUAUUUCUUCUGGUGGAUAGCCGAGAUCGCCUAUUAAAUUUGGCGGUAAAUGAUAUGUAUAUAUGGGAUCAUGUUGUUAAAUGAUGCCAUCGGUAGAGAAUCUUUGGAGCACCAAGAAUGCAUUGAAAGCUUUUUCAGAAGAAUUGUUCAUAAUUUGGCUGCUUUAUGAGGUAAUGCCCGAAUGGGUGGUUUGAUGGAGCCAUAAUUCCCUGCUUUAUAUACUUCGCCUCCUUCUUCUCGGCCAUCAGCUUCGCUUUUUCUUUCUCUGCACAUCCGCCUCUUCAAUUUUUACCGGAGACUCAACGAGAUAUCUUUGAGUCAUUCUUGCUUGUACUAGAUCUAAGUCUCUUCUUUCAAGUCACUUUCUACAUCUUUGGCGGUGGAACAUGUUUUUUUAUUACCGCUUGGUUGGUUUAUUGCUAUUGUGAUUGUUUAUUGGUGGGUGAAUUUGAAAAAUAAAAAUUGAGGAGAUAAAUAACACAUUUUCAGAAGUUUGAUUAACUGGGAAAAGAUAUUUUUGGUGGAACCUCGGUAUAGAUCUGCACAAGUAUUAUUUUUUCUGCAUUCGAUAUGAGUACAUCUUGAGAUUCAUCUUAAUGUUCAGCUUGAAGACGAAGAUAUGAUUAUUCAGGAAAAGAUGCAGAAUCAUUCCAUAUGCAGCUCUAGAGUACGUACAAUGAUAAAUCCAGAUUUCAAAGUUGAAGCAAGAUUUGGAUUUGGACAUAUUUUGACAAGUAAAGAUGAUCCGCCAAUAAUGAAGACGUCUGAAUCAAGUGUGUCACAUGGACAUUCUUAUCACAGAAUACAUUGGUUUCGAUCAAUGGGAAAUGGUGAAUAAUUUGGGUCUCAAUCCACACUCAGAAUGAAUCAUCGUCUUUAUGUAUUAAAUCGUCACUUAUUCCUUUUAGGUUUAUUGCUUGUUUUUUUUUUUGUCAUAAUGGGAAAGGGGGAAUCCACUCUAUGCUCACAUUUUGAUUUACCCACCGGAAUUAAUUUAACCAGUAUACCUUAUAUAA
Molecule: long non-coding RNA, 2077 nt
Organism: Papaver somniferum (opium poppy)
Lineage: Eukaryota; Viridiplantae; Streptophyta; Magnoliopsida; Ranunculales; Papaveraceae
Exons: 4
Source: RefSeq, a predicted model, not a curated record